GGUUAUAGCUCAGUUGGUAGAGUGCUUCCCUUUCAUGCACAAUGUCCUGGGUUCAAUCCCCAGCACCA
This 68-nucleotide transfer RNA is filed under the name Marmota monax (woodchuck). RNAcentral describes it as "tRNA.Glu". The record is from RNAcentral. Lineage: Eukaryota; Metazoa; Chordata; Mammalia; Rodentia; Sciuridae.